Molecule: long non-coding RNA, 292 nt
Filed under: Fukomys damarensis (Damara mole-rat)
Lineage: Eukaryota; Metazoa; Chordata; Mammalia; Rodentia; Bathyergidae
Description: lncRNA (ENSFDAG00000032244.1)
Source: RNAcentral
CAACAAGUGCUGAAGGAGCACCUUGAGUUUCCUGGGAAGAAUGCUGAGAUCACAGAAGGUUCUGUGCCAAGAAAACCAGCCCAACCAAGCUUUGAGGCUGAGAGCUUCUAAUGUCACCUCAGGAAGCUACCAUCUGCACAGUAGAGUUUCUGGAUCUCUUCCCAAAGAGGAGGCUGGGCCCAGAGGGAAGCCAGACUCCAGCAUCCAGCUCUGGAGACACUGAGACAACUGCUGCCCUCAAGUAGGUCCAGGCUGGUGCAGGAAACGGAGUAUAACUUUCUGUAUAACCAAA